AUGGCGGGUUCGGCGGAGGGGAAGAAGGGCGGGGUGCUGCAGGGGCGCUACGAGAUGGGCCGCGUGCUCGGCCACGGCAACUUCGGGCGGGUGCACAUCGCGCGGGACCUGAGGACCGGGCGGGCCGUGGCGGUCAAGGUGGUUGCCAAGGACAAGGUGGUGCGCGCCGGCAUGGUGGAGCAGAUCAAGCGGGAGAUCGCCGUCAUGAAGCGGGUCUCCCACCCCAACAUCGUCGAGCUCCACGAGGUCAUGGCCACGCGCUCCAAGAUCUACCUCGCCCUCGAGCUCGUCCGCGGCGGGGAGCUCUUCUCGCGGAUCGAGCGCUCCGGCCGCGUCACGGAGGACGUCGCGCGCCGCUACUUCCGCCAGCUCAUCUCCGCCGUCGACUUCUGCCAUGCCCGCGGCGUCUACCACCGCGACCUCAAGCCGGAGAACCUGCUCCUCGACGAGGCGGGGAACCUCAAGGUCGUCGAUUUCGGCCUCAGCGCGCUCGCCGACCACGCCCGCGCCGACGGGCUUCUCCACACCCUCUGCGGCACGCCGGGCUAUGCUGCGCCGGAGGUGCUCCGUGACAAGGGCUACGACGGCGCAAAGGCCGACCUCUGGUCCUGCGGCGUCAUCCUCUACGUGCUCCUCGCCGGAUCCCUCCCGUUCCCGGACGACAACGUUGUUACCAUGUACAAGAAGGCGCAGCGCGGUGACUACCGAUGCCCGCCGUGGUUCUCGACGGAUGCGCGCAGGCUCAUUCCCAAACUGCUCGACCCCGACCCCGACACCCGCAUCACCGUCGCGCAGCUCGUGGAGACGCCGUGGUUCAAGAAGGCGUCCAUCGCCAAGCCCCUAAGUCUUGAGCCGCCAGCAUGCGUGAAGGAUGCCGGCGACAAGGACGAACCCGAGGCGCUGAACGCGUUCCAUCUGAUAUCCCUCUCCGAGGGAUUCGACCUCUCGCCACUGUUCGAGGGCCACCCGGCAAGCCGGCGGCUGGAGGGCGGCAUGCGGUUCGCGACGCGGGAGCCAGCACGGGGCGUGGUCUCCCGUCUCGAGGAGGUCGCUGCGCGUGGAGGCGGGCGGAUGCGGGUGACCAAGAGCAGCCCGGGGGGCGUGCGCCUGGAGGGCGCGGAACGCGGCGGGCGCAAGGGCCGGCUCGCCGUGGCCGCCGAGAUAUUCAGCGUGGCUCCUUCGGUGCUCGUGGUCGACGUCAAGAAGGACGGCGGCGACACCCUCGAGUACCUCUCGUUCUGCUGUGACGAGCUCCGGCCAGCCCUCCAGGACAUUGUCUGGGCUGCCGACCCUCCGGCGUCUGUCGCCAUCGCCGUCUGA
This 1320-nucleotide ribosomal RNA is filed under the name Triticum aestivum (bread wheat). Its description in RNAcentral is "partial small subunit ribosomal RNA". The record is from RNAcentral. Lineage: Eukaryota; Viridiplantae; Streptophyta; Magnoliopsida; Poales; Poaceae.